This 374-nucleotide ribosomal RNA is filed under the name uncultured organism. RNAcentral's name for it is "partial 16S ribosomal RNA". It matches the Rfam family "Bacterial small subunit ribosomal RNA", at positions 527 to 896 of the family's 1533-position model. The record is from RNAcentral.
GUAGGUGGCAAGUGUUGUCCGGAAUUAUUGGGCGUAAAGCGCGCGCAGGUGGUUCUUUAAGUCUGAUGUGAAGGCCCCCGGCUCAACCGGGGAGGGUCAUUGGAAACUGGGGAACUUGAGUGCAGGAGAGGAAAGUGGAAUUCCACGUGUAGCGGUGAAAUGCGUAGAUAUGUGGAGGAACACCAGUGGCGAAGGCGACUUUCUGGCCUGUAACUGACACUGAGGCGCGAAAGCGUGGGGAGCAAACAGGGAUUAGAUACCCUGGUAGUCCACGCCGUAAACGAUGAGUGCUAAGUGUUGGGGGGGUUUCCCGCCCCUCAGUGCUGCAGCUAACGCAUUAAGCACUCCGCCUGGGGAGUACGGUCGCAAGACUG